RNAcentral lists this ribosomal RNA (427 nucleotides) under uncultured bacterium. Its description in RNAcentral is "bacterial SSU rRNA". It matches the Rfam family "Bacterial small subunit ribosomal RNA", at positions 355 to 774 of the family's 1533-position model. The record is from RNAcentral.
UGGGGAAUUUUGGACAAUGGGCGCAAGCCUGAUCCAGCAAUGCCGCGUGCAGGAUGAAGGCCUUCGGGUUGUAAACUGCUUUUGUACGGAGCGAAAAGGUCUGCCCUAAUACGGUGGGCUCAUGACGGUACCGUAAGAAUAAGCACCGGCUAACUACGUGCCAGCAGCCGCGGUAAUACGUAGGGUGCGCGCGUUAAUCGGAAUUACUGGGCGUAAAGCGUGCGCAUGCGGUUAUAUAAGACAGAGGUGAAAUCCCCGGGCUCAACCUGGGAAUUGCCUUUGUGACUGCAUAGCUAGAGUACGGUAGAGGGGGAUGGAAUUCCGCGUGUAGCAGUGAAAUGCGUAGAUAUGCGGAGGAACACCGAUGGCGAAGGCAAUCCCCUGGACCUGUACUGACGCUCAUGCACGAAAGCGUGGGGAGCAAACA